Molecule: long non-coding RNA, 1070 nt
Filed under: Ananas comosus (pineapple)
Lineage: Eukaryota; Viridiplantae; Streptophyta; Magnoliopsida; Poales; Bromeliaceae
Description: long non-coding RNA (ACOM_LNC016136)
Source: RNAcentral
CUGCCUCCUCCAUCUCCUCCUCGGCUUCCCUGCGAACGAGCCCCCCGGUCUCGCUGCAACACGCCCGAGCUCCUCGAGCUUUCCUACGCCCGAGCUCCUCGCUUUCUCCGACCACAAAACCCCGCGCCAAACUCCAUACUUCCUGAUCCCCGACGAUGCGCCCGCGGCGGCGGACGACCGCGACGCCGACGACGACGACUACACCGAUGAGAAGGACGAGGACCCGAGGAAGCCCCUAGAGCUGUUCCUGCGAGGAGAGCUCAUCUCCUUCCUCCGCUCUCCGGCGACGCGCGAUCCACACGCACUCCAUCGAACUUCGCUGAGCACCUCCGCCGGGCUUCACCAAGCCGCGCCGUCAUCGGAGCUCACCAAGCCGCACUCUCCGCAAACCCCAGAGGUUCAUCGACAAUUGCAUGAUUGCGUGUCAACUCGCCUCCACCAAACUCACCCCCGCACUGGAUCAAUUCGCCACCGCUCACCAGGUGUUCGAUCCGUGGCCACAACGAGCCGUGGCACCGGUUCAGGCUGUGGCGCUCAAGGUGGAGCAUGCGCAGGCGGCGGAAUGCGUCGACGACUGGUGCGCAGCGGCGGGUGGCCUAUGAACGCCAACAAUGAAGACAUUCAACCGUCGGCGCUUCGUUGAUAAAACUCCGCCAGAACUCAUUCGACGAGUUCCUAGUCGUCGACGGUGCGUACCCCGCAAACAUGUAGCAGAUGCUGCUCCGACGGAAUUGGCGCCAACGGAUCACGCCCAUCAGUUACUUGACGAAAUGCCCAAGAUGUUUAAUUUCGAUGGCGAUCCUGAGAGAGAGAGCGGUGCUCUCCUCUCAAACGGAUUCCGCCCGCCAAAUGCUUGAUGUGCCCAGAGUCCGCCCACCAACUGUUCGACGGCGAUCCUGAGAGAGAGAGCGGUGCUCUCCUCUCAAACGGAUUCCGCCCGCCAAGUGCUCGAUGUGCCCGGAGUCCGCCCACCAACCGCUCAACGGUGAAUCUGAGAGAGAGAGCGGUGCUCUCCUCUCAAACAACGGCAAAUUUGAGAGAAAAAGAGAAAGAUAGUACUUCUCUAAUCA